Molecule: ribosomal RNA, 492 nt
Filed under: uncultured bacterium
Lineage: Bacteria
Description: partial 16S ribosomal RNA
Rfam family: Bacterial small subunit ribosomal RNA
Source: RNAcentral
AGUGAACGCUGGCGGUAGGCCUAACACAUGCAAGUCGAACGGCAGCACAGUAAGAGCUUGCUCUUACGGGUGGCGAGUGGCGGACGGGUGAGGAAUACAUCGGAAUCUACUUUUUCGUGGGGGAUAACGUAGGGAAACUUACGCUAAUACCGCAUACGACCUACGGGUGAAAGCAGGGGAUCUUCGGACCUUGCGCGAUUGAAUGAGCCGAUGUCGGAUUAGCUAGUUGGCGGGGUAAAGGCCCACCAAGGCGACGAUCCGUGGCUGGUCUGAGAGGAUGAUCAGCCACACUGGAACUGAGAAACGGUCCAGACUCCUACGGGAGGCAGCAGUGGGGAAUAUUGGACAAUGGGCGCAAGCCUGAUCCAGCCAUACCGCGUGGGUGAAGAAGGCCUUCGGGUUGUAAAGCCCUUUUGUUGGGAAAGAAAAGCAGCAGGUUAAUACCCCGCUGUUCUGACGGUACCCAAAGAAUAAGCACCGGCUAACUUCGUG